This 452-nucleotide ribosomal RNA is filed under the name Mammaliicoccus vitulinus. RNAcentral's name for it is "bacterial SSU rRNA". It matches the Rfam family "Bacterial small subunit ribosomal RNA", at positions 22 to 462 of the family's 1533-position model. The record is from RNAcentral. Lineage: Bacteria; Bacillati; Bacillota; Bacilli; Caryophanales; Staphylococcaceae.
GCUCAGGAUGAACGCUGGCGGCGUGCCUAAUACAUGCAAGUCGAGCGAACAGAUGAGAAGCUUGCUUCUCUGAUGUUAGCGGCGGACGGGUGAGUAACACGUGGGUAACCUACCUAUAAGACUGGGAUAACUCCGGGAAACCGGGGCUAAUACCUGAUAAUAUUUUGAACCGCAUGGUUCAAUAGUGAAAGACGGCUUCGGCUGUCACUUAUAGAUGGACCCGCGCCGUAUUAGCUAGUUGGUAAGGUAAUGGCUUACCAAGGCGACGAUACGUAGCCGACCUGAGAGGGUGAUCGGCCACACUGGAACUGAGACACGGUCCAGACUCCUACGGGAGGCAGCAGUAGGGAAUCUUCCGCAAUGGGCGAAAGCCUGACGGAGCAACGCCGCGUGAGUGAUGAAGGUCUUAGGAUCGUAAAACUCUGUUGUUAGGGAAGAACAAAUUUGUUAGU